ACACUUUGGGUUUGUAAUAUCUAUUAAAUACACAAAAUAAGGUGAAUGCACUUUUGUUAUCUGAAUUCCAAUUUAUGUGCAUUGUGCAAAAACGUUACUUCUCUUUAACUCUGGAGUAGAGUUUUUUUUUUUUUUUUUUUUUUUUUUCCAGUGCAGUUCAGGGAAAGGUGGAAAAUACCUUUCACUGAUAGCUGCCAUUUACUUAGCCAUGUUGGCUAAUUAAAGGUCCCAUGGUGAUUAUAGCCAGGACAUUUGAUUUUUCAAAGUAUUUCAGAGCUGCAUUUAAAAUGCUGCAGCUGAUAUUCUGUUUUGCCAUAAUGUAUCAAAGACAUCCUCUUCUUUUACCUCUUUCUUUUUUGGUUGGUUGUUUGGUUGGUUUGUUUUAUUUUACUACUUUGGAUUUUUAAUCCAGCAUUACGUAUUCACGUGCAUCUGUGUCCAUUGCAGUUGUCUUAUGGAUAAAGCCAAACUUUCAAAGAUGAUGCAGAAUAGGAAUACCUGGGAUCUUACCUGUUUUUAGUUCCAAGUCAAUUGUUUGGCUCCAGAGAUAAACUUAAAUAAUUGUUUCAGUCUGAAAUUCAGAUAUAAUUUGCAGAAGGCACUAGACAGCAGACAGCAAAAUUAAGAGUGUUAUACUGAUCAGCAUCUCUGAUCUGUCCAUUUAGUGUUCUCUUUACAAAACUCACGUAAAACUAAAAUACAGGAUAUUUUAUCAAGCGACAACAUUCACUUGCUCCUAACUUAUGAAUUACUCAGUUAAAAUGUUGAUACUAUGACAUUUGGUACUGUUUACAUUUUCAGAGUAAAUGCCACAUGAGAGAAUGGAGGACACUAGGCCUAGGGAGCCACACACAACACACUCACCUACCCACCUACCUUACUCUGGCACGGGGGGUGGAGUUUAAGCUGUCUUGUUCUUAACAGUCGGUCUGCCACACGCUUCCUUUGUGACAUAAGACAAGUUAUUUAGGCCUCUGUUAUCAAAAGUGUCUAAAAAUUUUUAAUGCUUCCAUUUUUGGGUGCUUUACUUGAGGCCCACGGGGUCUGAUUUUUGAGAAGUACUCACUACCCUCAGUAUCUUGUGAGAAUCAGGCCUCAAAUUGGACACCCACAAUAAUUGGAAACUGAUUGCAAGAUUGGCCCUUAAACCUCUCUGUACCUCAAUUUCCCAUUCUUUAAAAUAGGAAUAAUGCUUCCUUACUGCACAGGUCUGUUGUAAGGUUAAGUUAAUGAAUGAUUUGAGGUGUUCAGAUACUGUGGUGAUGAGUAUAGGAAAGCCCAUGAGUUAAAUACAACAAAGAACAUGUCACAGAACAGCUUAGAAUGGGCAUUCCUAGACAGGAUGGGACCUAGCUAUGUCUCAUCCCAGCCUGCAUGUAUUGACAAUGGACAGAGGCCAGCAGUGGGUGGAAUUAAACUGCAUCUUUUCUAAAUGACUAGCAAGGGCCAUUCCUGCUUCUGCCUGAGGGGGAGGUACAGUAACUCCAGCCGCUCCUACUCAGAUGUUGCAUCUCCAUCUCACUCCGCUACCUCCUCCGUAUGGCUCCGGGGCCAAGAGCUUUACCUGAACCCUGUGAGAUUGAUCAUCUUGGGUCAGUAGGACAGGAGGAGACUUGGAGGAGUAAAUAAUUAUUACAAAUGCAAUCUAGUGGUAACACCAUCAGGCAUAUCCUCUUUAUUAUAGAAGCAUUUAAUUAAAUAGGAGAAUAAAUGAAUACCAGGGGUGAGUGAAAUACCUUUUUGUCUUGCUGUCUGAUUUUAAAAUUUAGUGUGUAAGUGAAAGGUUAUAAACUUAAGUCAUUGGACCAGAAUCUGCUCUCACAUUAGUAGGGGCCUACCAGUUUCACAGCCGUGUAAAACAUGUAAUGAACCGUGAAAUAAGCCCUUCCCAUGAAAUCUGAUCUCCCCGAAAUCAGCCGGGCUGGGGAGGGACAGGACCUGUCCUUCCCCUGCAUGGCUGUUAUGAGGGGAGAUCAGACCCACCUCCACAGGCAGCGCAGAAGUGAGGGUGAUACACUUCUGUGCUGAGCAGCCACAGAGCUGGGCUCCAGGCUGCUGCUCCCCAUGGCUCUUGCUGGAGCUCGGGGCACCUGGGCUUGGGUCUGUCACUCCCCACGGCUCCUGCUAUGUCUCAGGGCAUCCUGAGAGAUUAAAUUGUGUUUAUUAGUUUUCUACCACUUUGGUACAGCACUGCAGCUAUAUCUUUGGAGGUAUUUGAAUGAUCUUAGUAGCUGUUAAGAAGCAUAGGUAGUUAAGGUUAUUUUUGUAGUGCAAUUUGGGAUCUCAAAUUAGGAUUUAAUCCAUUUUUAAAAAUGCAAUAAACUCCAAAAUAAAUUUUAAAACAGUUAAGAUCCUUUGGCAUUUCUGUUUUUGAGUACUUCAGUCAUUUGUGUACAAGUUUUCAGUGUAAACGUAGAUGGUGAUUGAACAGAAGUAACUGGUCUGCAAGCAGUUCUGCUUAAAUAUGUGUAAUUGUAAAUGAUCUUCUUAAACAAACUUAUCAAAGCCCUGUUUUGUGUAGCUGAAGUGCACAUCAGAAAUGCACUGAACAAGAUACUCUUUGACACUUUCCCAGGCCCCUGAGUCCAUCUGCUUGCAGGAGGGCAGGAGACUGAAUAGUGAUAUGCAAGUAAUGUGUGUCACUCAGGAAACACAAAGUAUCAAAAUUAAUCUUUUGCUGCUUGGCAAAUGUCCAGCUCUUCCCUUUCUCUGUUCCCUCCUGCAGACAUGUCACCUGAUUAAUGGUGCAUGUAUGGUACUACAAAAUUAAAUUUAUCCAGAGUUACAUCUUACUCUGCUUGGUUGUGCAGGAGCAAGAGAAGCUCUUUUUUUUUUUUUUUUUUUUUAAGUGGACAGGAAACAAAAACUUUGAGAAUUAGCCCUAAUGCAAACCCAAAUAGCUGCUGUCUGACUAGUUAGUAGUAGAUAUGCAAUCCGUUUUUUAAAACUAUUUUAAAGUUUUAUGCUUGUACAAGUAUUCCUGGGGCCAACCAACAAUCCUUGCUUUUGAAUUCUAAAUAAAACAUUGGAAUAUUAAUAAACUGUCCAAUUUAACUAUUGUUUAUAGUUCAAUAUUAAAAAGUCUUUAAUGUCCAGUAACUUGUGCCUUUUAGCUGCAUCGUAGUAGACAUUAUUCAGUUUGCAUGCUUUUAAACUCAGAUUGUAUUUCAGGUAGUAAAUUAAGUCUGCAGAGAAUAUUUUUAUACUAUUUCAAUUCACUUCAGUUACAUUUGCAAUGUGCUUGUAUUAAAACAUUUCCAAAUUAAUUGACUAAUAUCAGUUUAGCUAGCUAGUCUUGCUGUU
This is a long non-coding RNA of Chelonia mydas (Green sea turtle), 3303 nucleotides long. RefSeq lists it as uncharacterized. The record is from RefSeq and is a predicted model, not a curated record. The transcript has 2 exons. Lineage: Eukaryota; Metazoa; Chordata; Testudines; Cheloniidae.